UGCAGAAUCUCGUGAACCAUCGAGUCUUUGAACGCAAGUUACGCCCUAAGCCACUAGGCCGAGGGCACGCCUGCCUGGGUGUCA
This 84-nucleotide ribosomal RNA is filed under the name Crataegus brachyacantha. RNAcentral's name for it is "partial 5.8S ribosomal RNA". It matches the Rfam family "5.8S ribosomal RNA", at positions 73 to 154 of the family's 154-position model. Rfam says of the family: 5.8S ribosomal RNA (5.8S rRNA) is a component of the large subunit of the eukaryotic ribosome. It is transcribed by RNA polymerase I as part of the 45S precursor that also contains 18S and 28S rRNA. The record is from RNAcentral. Lineage: Eukaryota; Viridiplantae; Streptophyta; Magnoliopsida; Rosales; Rosaceae.